UCAAUCUUCCCAGUACCCCUCCAUGCAAGGCAUCCUCUCCUCCCCCAGCCUCUGCGGGUGCAGGCCUGUGACCUGAGAGUGCAGAAACGCGUCUCCACCUAGGGAGGUGGGGCGUGUUUCUGAGGUGGAUAGGCCUCUUGUCUACACUCAGGACAGCUGCUCUCUGGAGACCCCGACCCGGUCACAGCAUCUGCCUGCAAGGGAGCUGCACCCUCCCUCCUCCAGCCCUGGUACCAAUCCCUACAGCCUAAAUUCUGUCCUUUCUCCAUCUCUAGGCUGUGGACCUCACUGUGUUCUACACUGCCGAUGAGGAAAUUGAGAAUUAGAAGGGUUAAUUGCUUUCCCAAUGUCUACCAGCUAGUGAGUGACUUGAAUUCAAGAGCUCUCAUUCAUCCAUUUCAAAAAUAUUUCUCAAGCCUUGCUUCUGCACGCCACACUGUUCCGGACCGUCGGGUUGCAGUCAUGCAGAAGAAGCAAUGAUAGAACAUACAUAGUCAGUUCUGUGGUGUGUUAGAUAAGCGAUUGGAAGAAGGCUUGGGGAAGCAGCAGAUGGAGAGCAAUGGGCACUUCAGAUUGCAUUCCAGAGGUGGAGACCGAGGCUCAGGGAGUUGAAGUCUCCACCCUGAGGUACAUCAGCAAUACAUCACACUUGAACCCAGCUCUGCGUGACUCAGGAGCUGCCACCCCACUCUGGAGGCCUCUCAGUGAAGUGGGCAGGUCUGGCCCUACUCUAGCCCACUCAGAAGACCGACCCAACCCCCAUUCCAUGUCUCUUGGGUCCCCAACAGUUUGGAAAAUCCUGAUGAAAGCAGAUGGUGGGGACAGAUGGAGGGGAACGCAUCUCAGGGCUGAGUUACACAAACAAACAUUGAUAAAGUGAUUAAAACCUCAA
Molecule: long non-coding RNA, 892 nt
Organism: Peromyscus californicus insignis
Lineage: Eukaryota; Metazoa; Chordata; Mammalia; Rodentia; Cricetidae
Exons: 2
Source: RefSeq, a predicted model, not a curated record